Molecule: long non-coding RNA, 1746 nt
Filed under: Phascolarctos cinereus (koala)
Lineage: Eukaryota; Metazoa; Chordata; Mammalia; Diprotodontia; Phascolarctidae
Description: lncRNA (ENSPCIG00000032382.1)
Source: RNAcentral
UGAUGUUCAGCACUGAUCAACUUCUCUGGUCAACCAAGUUUUGCCAUGAUUUUUUUUCUUGUAAACUGCUUAUUGAAAACCCAGGGAUAAAAUCAACUGUUCAUUGUGGAAGGCCUUAAAUUACAUUAUUACAGUAGAAAAUACAGGAGGUAGAAGAUAACUGAAAAGACUAAUGCAACAUUAGAUUCAAAUCUAUAGCUCCUGUAGCUAUGUAAAACAUGGUUUUAAAAACUAAACCCAACAUUUUUCAGUAACCAUAGAAAACAAUUAAAAUAAAUUUGCCAUGAAAGCCCUCAUAUCAUGCUUGAUACACGGAGGUAGGAAGAUUUAAGAACCAGAAGGACACGUGAGACAUGACAUUUUAUCUACAACUCCUGUUUGCUUUACUGAGCUUGUAGUUUUACAAUUCAGUUGUCUUCUUCUGCUUCAGACUCAGAUUCUUCUUCCGCAUUCUUGAGCCACUCUACAAAUUUUUUCAUUUGCUCAAGAAAGACACUUUUCCCCUUUGCAACAUGUGCAUCUUUAUACCACUUCAAAAUGGCUCUUCACUCAGGACUUCAGCUUUAUAAAAAAGCACCACAAUUUUCUGGAAGGCUUUCAUGAAGUGAACGUUGUCAUAACAGUACUCCUGCAUCUUCAGUAACAGAGUCAGCUCAGACUGACCUUGAGUAGUAAAGGCAGCACGUAGAGGGCUGUAUUGCUUCAAAUGCUUGAUGGCUUACUCUGCUACCAGCUCCUCAUUUUUGUUCCAUUCCACAGUGCUCAUUACACUUGACCAGACUAUGCCUAUAACGAUCUGUUCUGGGAUAUUGUUUUUCUUCAUCUCCUCCCUGACAUACAAAAUUAUAUCCUUAAAUGGAUCACCACGUGACGUUUGUUCUUGAAGUUUUUUCUGUAGCUCUUUACGAGCUCCUAUGGUUUGCUGGUUCCGAACAUACUCAGAAAGUUCUUUUAGACCUGCUUCGGUAAAAUAUUUUGUGAAGUGUUCAACAUUUUGUUUUUUAGCAGGAAAAAGUUCCAUCAGUCUCUUGUCCAUGCUGACUUUUCGAAGACUAGCAGCUACUGUAUUGAUAUCUUUUUCAUUUAUCCAUGAUUUAAACAGCUUUACAGCAAAGGCUGCUGAAAUGCCUCCUUUAACCAAAUUCUCAUUAUAAAGGCUGUUAAGAAUGGAUGCAUUAAGUGUCCCAUUGGCCAGAAGAACCCCAGUCCAGUCAACAUGGCCAGUUUGUUCCUCUCAGACUCUGAAAAACCCUUUAAGAAUAGCAGCAGCUUUUUAACUUCAUCCUCAAAUCCCUUUUCAAGGUAUUUGUAUCACCUGAUUAACUUGUUGAAUACCUGAGCAAAGGCUUGCACGGUCUCUAGGUCUUCUUGUGCUGCAAAUACACAGACAUCGGUAGACAUCAUGUCAUCUGCCAGUGUACCACCUGGGGCCAGCAUGCCACCAGCCACCAGAAUGUCAAAGAGUGUUUCUGCAUAUCUGCGAUAAUCAAGUUUUGCCCCAGAAGCAUCAAGAAAUUUUGCUACUGCUUCCGAAUCAGUGCCAGUUUCAGUUAAACCUUGAAUAAUAUAGUCCUGAAACUGAGUAGGGUCAAACCUGUCUUUUGCAUCUCUUUUUCUAGUUUUAAAACGCUGGCCUGAUAGCGUUGGCUUUUGCUGCUUUUGAUUAUUCAUAAAAGACAGCCUUUCCCAGGUGCGGCUCCAAAUCCAGCUCCCGGGUCAGACCCAGGCCUGGCCUCACGCAGCUGC